GCGGCGGCGGCGGCGGCGGAUCUUCCAGGAGGCAGGGAGAUUCCAAAUAAAUCCGCUAAUUCUGGGCUGAGCGCUCCGGCGUGCGAGCCCGCCUGCCUGCCAAAUGUAACUGUGAAGUGAUGUGGAAAAGUGAACCGGGUGCCUCCCCUGACGGAUCUCAUUGGGCAGAGCGCAGAGGCAGGUCUACCACUUGGAAAUUCGUCUGGUGGAGGCCACAGAUAUGGAACCCACUCAUUCAGAGGGCCAACUACCAUUGAGCCUUCAGUCUGUCCAGAAAGGAGCUGGGAAGUUGAGGAUGAAGCCAUCAGCUGGUGUAAUGUCUGGGAAAGGCUUGAUCUCUGCUUCAGGAUGAUGCCUUGUUUCUCUGUCCUCACAUGGAACAAAGUAGGAGGACAAAGAAGUUGUGUCCCCCAUUGGAAAAGGGACAAGAAGACCAAAAAAGACUAAGAGAUCCCAUUUAAUGUCUUUUAUAAGAGCAUUAAUUCCAUGCACAAAGGCAAAGGCCUCAAGGCCUAAUCAUGUCCCAAGGGACCCACCUCUUAAUAUCAUCCACUUGGGGGAGCUGAAUUCCUAUAGAUGCAUUUUGGAAGAACACAGCCAUGCCAACUCCAGUACCUAACAACAUACAAGAAUGAGGAGAGUGGUUCUAAUUUCUGAUUUCCACUAGUUGAUAUAAAUGUGAAGGAUUCCUUAACUAUGAGAAAGGAGAGAAAUAGAUUCAGAAGGAUAAAGCCCAUGUUAAAAACAUUUACUUGCAUGUGUGUCAGUAAUGUAUGCU
This 778-nucleotide long non-coding RNA is filed under the name Heterocephalus glaber (naked mole-rat). RNAcentral describes it as "lncRNA (ENSHGLG00100052364.1)". Lineage: Eukaryota; Metazoa; Chordata; Mammalia; Rodentia; Bathyergidae. The record is from RNAcentral.